CAGUGGUGUCCCCAAGCUCCUCCAGUCACACAAAUGUAUGGGUCCUUUUUGUUAGGUAUGUCCUUGUAUAUGGCUGCAUGUUGUGUCUGUGGGAAUGUACAGGUAACUAUGUCACAGUAAUCAAAGGUGUAUGUAGCUACAUCAGUAUUAGAAGAAUUGUACCAGAAAGUGUAAACAUGAUUAUCUUUGGUUAUGGCCACUUGUUGGGCCCAGGCAAAAUGCAACAAUAUAAGAAAACACGGGACACAUAAUAAAUUCAUGUUUCAACAAGAUCAGCUUCUCCCGGAGCAGGCACUUUUUUGCAAUGUGAAGCGUGUAUCCAGGAACUUUUUCCAGCUAGUUUAACUGACGUUGCUGUAAUCAGGAGCACUUGAUAAGGACCAUCAAAUCUCGGUUCUAGGGUAUGUUUCCUGAGGAACUUCUUAACCAUAACCCAAUCACCUGGAAGCAGCUUGUGUGUACCUGUAUUCGACUCAGGAUCUGGAAUAGAAGAAAACACUUGGGC
Non-coding RNA from Pelobates cultripes (western spadefoot toad), 505 nucleotides. NCBI's taxonomy places the organism in Eukaryota, Metazoa, Chordata, Amphibia, Anura, Pelobatidae. The record is from the annotation of a GenBank genome assembly.